UUAGCUAGUUGGUGGGGUAAAGGCCUACCAAGGCAACGAUCUGUAGUUGGUCUGAGAGGACGACCAGCCACACUGGGACUGAGACACGGCCCAGACUCCUACGGGAGGCAGCAGUGGGGAAUUUUGGACAAUGGGCGCAAGCCUGAUCCAGCCAUGCCGCGUGAGUGAAGAAGGCCUUCGGGUUGUAAAGCUCUUUCGGUGAAGACGAAACGGUUAGCGCUAAUAACGCUGACUAAUGACGGUACUCACAGAAGAAGCACCGGCUAACUACGUGCCAGCAGCCGCGGUAAUACGUAGGGUGCAGGCGUUAAUCGGAAUUACUGGGCGUAAAGCGUGCGCAGGCGGUUUGCUAAGACAGGUGUGAAAUCCCCGGGCUUAACCUGGGAAUUGCGCUUGUAACUGGCAAGCUAGAGUGUGGCAGAGGGGGGUGGAAUUCCACGUGUAGCAGUGAAAUGCGUAGAUAUGUGGAGGAACACCGAUGGCGAAGGCAGCCCCCUGGGUUAACACUGACGCUCAGGCACGAAAGCGUGGGGAGCAAACAGGAUUAGAUA
RNAcentral lists this ribosomal RNA (551 nucleotides) under uncultured bacterium. RNAcentral describes it as "bacterial SSU rRNA". It matches the Rfam family "Bacterial small subunit ribosomal RNA", at positions 241 to 784 of the family's 1533-position model. The record is from RNAcentral.